UUAUCCGGCACGGCGGUGUGACGUUUAUUUUGUCGCACUAAUUGCGAAUCGUGCCGAAUAAUCGGUAUAUUUUCGUAUUUACGUAUCAUUUUGCCGUUCGCGUUUGCGAUUGAUAUAUUGAAUGAAAAUAACGGAAAUAUCUUGUUUUUUUUAACUCUGCGAUGAUAUUUCAGAUGAACGAAAUAUCAUCGCAGAAUAAUCGGCGAAUAAAAUUUUCGUGAAUAGUAUCAUCGUCACCUGAUCGCGGUAUUUGUAACGAUUUUCAUGUGAGGGAAAAAUAUCGGAUCGCGUACAUUCAAGGGUGCGUCCGAUUCUCCACCCGAAUGCGCUCAGAAAGUGUUCAGAUUCCUUCCAACUCCCGCCGGACUCUUAAGUGAGACGUUCAAAUUGUCACUUCAUCCACCCGAGAGAGUGUAAAAGUCACCCGGCUCGUAGAAUCGGGUGGUUUGGGUGGUGGUGACGCAAUAUGCGGGCAAUAUUGAAAUGUCUAGUAAAUCUAGUUCAUUAAGUCAAUAUCGGGCAUCAGACUAUGGAGUGCGUUCAGAUUUUAUUAUUCUCUCAAACACUUUUCGUUAGACUUCGCCCAUCACCCGCUCAUUUAACUAUCAUUCAUCGGAUGGAGAAUUGGAACACAGCUCAAAUGUCGGUGUAAGCUAAAUCAGACUCCUUCAUGACAUCAGCGGAACAUUUUAUUAGUCUUAUAACAGUAGCAAGUGCAAAGAAAUUAGCUACUGCGCUUGUUAUCUGUUUUAUUAUAUACCAUGGAGUCAUACAUCUUAUUUAUGGUAGCGAUUCUUGCAAAUGGUUAUUGACAGAAGGUAGAUACAAAGGAGAUAAAGAAUGGCAACCAUACGGUUGCAUGAUGCAUCAUUAUACGCAAACAGACAGCAGAAGAUGUAUGAGAUAUCUAGCUUUCAUGGGCCACCAUAAUCAUUUUGUAUUCAUUGGCGAUGCUAGAGUAAGACAAUUGUAUAAAUCUUUUGUUUCACAAUUUGUGAUUGAUGGCAAAGCAUCAGAUCUCACAGAAUUGCCGGAAAACUCAGACUUGGGUUUCAACGACGGGCAGCUUAAAUUAAAUGUACAGUUCUUAUGGCGACCACGACUCGAUAAUUCUAUGAUAGCAAACAUUAGAGGCUGGAUGCAAACGGAUGCGCCUAGUGUAAUUGUAGCAGGUUCUGCCGCAGCUGUGAUUCUUGCAAACAAUAAUAGUGAUACGCAACUCUAUUCGGAAUACAGCACGAGUUUGAUUCGACUGGUGCAACCGGUGGAUUUUCUGGCUAAAAAAGGAUCUCGAUUUCUUUGGCUCUUACAGGAUCCUGUACUCAAGGAAAGACUGCCUGCGCAAUUGUCGAGUUUGGACAACAAACAGAUCAAUUUAUGUAAUAAGGCAGCCGAAAGGAUAUUGUCUCAUAGUGAGGCUCAUAUAUGGCAAAGCAGCAAACUAGUCGGUAUGGGUGUUUUGGAGCAAAGUCCAGAUGGUUAUUUGGCAAGUCCAUUAUCGCUUCGUCAUAAAGUUCAAAUACUAUUAAACACAUACUGCAACGAUCAUAUGAAUUUCGAUGAUGGAAGCUGUUGUAGUUAUCCUGAACCAGCAACUACUCUACAGCUGUUAAGUCUAUCUGCGCUUGCAUUAUUUAUAACAAUAGGAGGAGGAGUGUGGUUAUACAGAAAAAUGUGCAAGUAUCGUUCUGAAGUGUCUUAUUCUUAUGUUACUGUUGAGGAAGUAGAGAAUACAGAAGAAGCAGGUGCUUCAGAAGUUAUACAAAUUAAACAACCUGAGAUACAAGAUUUCUACACUCUUAUUACAUCAUUGGCUCUCUUUUCUAUUAUAUUAGCAUAUUUUUACUUAUGUGAUAGAACAAAUUUCUUUAUGAAGGAGAAUAAAUAUUACAGUGAGUUCAGUUUCUGGUUACCACUAGGAUAUAUCUUGGCUCUCGGAUUAUUUUUCACCGAAGAUCGUGAAAGAGGACCGAGAGUAUUAAAUAGAGAGCAAACGGAUGAAUGGAGAGGCUUAAUGCAGGCGGUUGUGCUCAUAUAUCAUGUCACUGGUGCCAAAAAUGUUCUCCCGAUUUAUAUGUACUUAAGAUUAAUUAAUUCUGCCUACUUAUUUCUGUCUGGAUAUGGACAUUUUUAUUAUUUUUGGCAAACCGGCGACGUGUCUCUUGUCAGAUUUGUCAGAUAUAAUUGUUGUGUUUUAGGUCAUGUUCAGAUUAAACUUAUUGACAGUAUCGUUAUGCCUUUGCAUGAACAGGCCAUAUCAAUUCUACCAUUUUGUACCAUUGGUGUCCUUUUGGUUUCUAGUGAUUUACUUUUUGGCUUGGUUACCACCGAGAAUAUAUUCCGGAAGUUUAGCGGAAUACGGACCGAGAGCCUUGCUGUAUUUUGCUUUGAAACUCUUGGGUCUUGUGUCGAUAAUUACUAUACUAUAUAUGUCAGAGCACAGGUAUUUUUUGAAAAAGUUUUCGUCACGAGGCCCUGGAAAGCGUUAUUUGUGACGACUGAUGAUGACAUUCGCGAAUGGUGGUCUCGUUGGAGAGUCGACAGAUAUAGUGUAGUUUGGGGCUUAACCUUCGGAGCCGGUCUUGUUGCACUUCAAAGACUAGAUCAUAUUCCAGGCACUGCAUUAUCCUCCGUGCUGGCAUUGAUCUCCUUAAUAGCAUAUACUACUUUCACAAUUUUGUGUCAUUCUGUAUCAGAAUGUGAGGAGAUUCAUUCUUAUGUCGCUUUUAUUCCGAUUAUAGGAUAUAUCGCUCUUCGAAAUGCAUCAUUGGCAUUACGGGGAAAGCACUCUGCACUUUUAGCUGGAUUGGGUAGAAUAAGUUUAGAGACAUUAGUUGCGCAAGGACACAUAUGGUUGGCAGCAGAUUCACAUGGAGUGCUUGUGUUAUUACCUAGAUUUCCAGUAUUGAAUCUGUUGGUUACAUCAUUCAUUUUCAUCUGUGCCAGUCACGAAAUUCAUAGACUAACACAUGUUUUAGCACCAUAUGCAGUACCAAAUGAUUGGAAAUUAGUAGCUCGCAAUUUGUUACUGUUUACAACUGUAUUGGUACCCAUCGGCAUUCAUGAUGGAAUGUUUUAAAAAUUGGGAAUGUUUAAAAAAUCAAAGAUACCUGCAAUAUUAAUGUACAAGUGUACACAUCAUAACCAAGAGAUAUUAUAUUAUCAUAAAGCACUCUGUAUCGUGUGGGAAGGAAAUAAAAAUUAAUGACUUGUG
Cataglyphis hispanica is the source of this 3214-nucleotide RNA transcript. It is a transcript of the gene named N-acetylneuraminate 9-O-acetyltransferase, with no coding region annotated. The transcript is spliced from 13 exons. The record is from RefSeq and is a predicted model, not a curated record. NCBI's taxonomy places the organism in Eukaryota, Metazoa, Arthropoda, Insecta, Hymenoptera, Formicidae.